Molecule: ribosomal RNA, 460 nt
Filed under: uncultured bacterium
Lineage: Bacteria
Description: partial 16S ribosomal RNA
Rfam family: Bacterial small subunit ribosomal RNA
Source: RNAcentral
CCUACGGGUGGCAGCAGUGAGGAAUAUUGGUCAAUGGCCGGAAGGCUGAACCAGCCAAGCCGCGUGAAGGACGAAGGUGCCAAGCAUUGUAAACUUCUUUUGUCAAGGGACAAAAUCAGGCUCGAGAGCCUGACCGAGGGUACUCAAUGAAUAAGCCACGGCUAACUACGUGCCAGCAGCCGCGGUAAUACGUAGGUGGCAAGCGUUAUCCGGAUUUACUGGGUGUAAAGGGCGUGUAGGCGGGACUGCAAGUCAGAUGUGAAACCCAUGGGCUCAACCCAUGGCCUGCAUUUGAAACUGUAGUUCUUGAGUGAUGGAGAGGCAGGCGGAAUUCCGUGUGUAGCGGUGAAAUGCGUAGAUAUACGGAGGAACACCAGUGGCGAAGGCGGCCUGCUGGACAUUAACUGACGCUGAGGCGCGAAAGCGUGGGGAGCAAACAGGAUUAGAUACCCGGGUAGUU